GACGAACGCUGGCGGCGUGCCUAGCACAUGCAAGUCGAACGGGGCAGAGAGCUUCGGCUUUCUGCUUAGCGGCGAACGGGUGAGUAACGCGUGAAGAACCUGCCUUUCAGUGGGGGACGAACAGUUGGAAACGACUGCUAAUACCGCAUGACACUGAUGAGGGGCGAUCCCUUAUCAGUCAAAGCUUUAAGUGCUGAAAGAUGGCUUCGCGUCUGAUUAGCUAGAUGGCGGGGUAACGGCCCACCAUGGCGACGAUCAGUAGCCGGUCUGAGAGGAUGAACGGCCACAUUGGGACUGAGAUACGGCCCAG
RNAcentral lists this ribosomal RNA (310 nucleotides) under uncultured bacterium. RNAcentral's name for it is "bacterial SSU rRNA". It matches the Rfam family "Bacterial small subunit ribosomal RNA", at positions 28 to 334 of the family's 1533-position model. The record is from RNAcentral.